AGAAAAAGAAUUUUCUGAAUAUCCAUUCUCUGGGUUCAGCCGUCACUGUUGGUCACUUAGCUGGGCUUUCCUCAGUUGUGACCCUAGAUCUUGGAAGUGAGGAGAUGGCUUCGCCCUCUAGACAGCCUCCCCUCGGAGGGUCAGGGCUGCUACGUGGGAGCCGUGCUCGUUCUUAUGGAAGCCUGGUACAAUCAUCCUGCUCCCCAGUGAGGGAAAGACGCCUGGAGCAUCAAUUGGAGCCUGGAGACACCCUGGCUGGAUUAGCACUCAAAUACGGGGUGACGAUGGAGCAGAUUAAACGUACAAACCGCCUUUAUACUAACGACUCCAUCUUCCUGAAGAAAACGCUCUACAUCCCCAUCCUGACAGAGCCCAGAGACCUGUUUAAUGGUUUAGAUUCUGAGGAGGAGGAAAAUGAUGGAGAGGAAGAGGUUCGCCCGAGUAAGGAUGAGAUUGGUUCAUCUUCAGGGAAGAGGAAGAAUCAAGGGUCAGCCUCGAGUCAGCCCAAAGGCACAGGCCUCCCACCUCACCAGGGAACCUCCACACCCAGCCAUGACCUUUCUGCCUCUGAUUUCCUUAAGAAGCUUGACUCACAGAUCAGCCUGUCGAAGAAGGCUGCUGCCCAGAAGCUGAGGAAAGGGGAAAGUGGGGUACCUGAGGAGGAUACAGGUCUCUACCCCAGCUCCCCUCGGAUGCAGCAGCGAGCAGUCCUGGGUCCUGUGCCACUCACCCGGACGUCUCGAACCCAGACACUGCGGGACCAGGAAGAUGAAAUCUUCAAACUCUGAUGUCCCCAGAACUGAUGAGCGCAGCAGAAUGUUUAAGGAACAGCUCAAGGAGGAGGAGUCUGAGGAUGUGGCCGUGACCGCAAUGAGGAGCAACCUCACCCUCUCCCUCAAAUGAAAACAGGAGUCCUCGCAGAGGGAGGAGAGCCAGGGGGCUCUCUCCCACAACUCAAUCACUCCAAUGGGAGCCUGCCAUCUUGAUUUGUUUCUGCCUUGCCCUGCAGACGGUCCUGCCCUCCUCAGUGGAGGUAAUUGUCCACAGGAGCCCGCUUUCCUUCUCGACUUGCCUUCUUCUUACCCAGCUCUCUGUUGCCCCGAUAUCUCCAACUAGGUCCCCAGUCCUCUCAGGGUAGCUAUGUCACUCACUCUUUUUGUCCCAGCCUCUACAUGAUCUCCGUGAACCUCUAGUCUAGCUAAGCUUUCACUUUGGGUCACUGUACUCCCAUGGCCGAAGAUACUUUAGAUCUGUAAAUCUCUACUCAUACCCCAUGUGCACCUCCAUGCCUCAGCUCUAGGCUCAACCCCCAUCCCAACCCCGGUCUCCCUCUCAGAUAACCUUGCCCAUCCACUGAAUACACUAAAAUGGUUCUGGGGAGAGAGGGGAGACCCAAGAAUUCUACGAGCGAGAGUUUCACAAAACAGAAAGAAAGGUGAGGGUGAAGAGGUUGGCUAUCUCAUCAGUGUCUCCCCGAAACCCGCCCCCUGCCAUUGUCAGUCUCACCUGCUGUGCGCUGGGUGCCGGUCUUGCUUUGGAUGUGUCUGAGAGCUAGCAGAAAGGAGAAGCUCCUUAGAGGCCCUUUGGUCUAGCCCCACCCCAAGCCCCGCCUACCUACUCUCCACCUCCGGUUCAUCACCACUGUCACCAAGAAGUCCAGUGUCCCAAGAGCAGCCUAGAAAUAAGACAAAGGUCAAAAGGAAUGGAAUUCUAUAGGAAGCACCGACUCUGAGGUGGCAAGGACAGAUUGCACACCUCCACCUAAACGGUCUGCUUCUUUCUUGCUGCCUAAUAUUCUUGUGGUACUGAGAACCCUGCAGAGUCCAGAUUUUUAAUGUGGAAGUCAGUGAGGAAAGUAUGGAAGAUCAUCGAGUGGUGUAGUAGAACAGCAUUACACAAGCGUCUUCAGGUCCUGGAAGGUAAGAUUAGCAUAGAACUGCCCCAAUACCGGCAGGGGGUAGGUGCCAAGGUUGGGGGCUGCUGAGCCAUACAUGACCAGUAGGUGUCAGCAUCGAGCCAAAACGCUAGAGGACCAAGUACAGCGUUUAAUAGUUGUGAAGGGCCUGGAAAAUGAAGGCCAUCUCCAGUGAGGCAAAACUACACCUUUAGUCCCGGCACUCUGGAGGCAGAGACAGGCGGAUCUCUGAGUUCAAGAUCAGUCUGGUCUACAGAGUGAGCUCCAGGCCAGCCAGGGCUGCAUAGUGAAACUCUUGGAAAAACAACCACCUAUCACUCCAGCUCCAGGAAUUCCAGUGUUCUCUUCUGGCCUCCAGAGUCAUCUGCAUAAACACAGUCCACAAACAUACACUUGGGUGCAGAGAGACACAAAUCUUUAAAAGGAGCUAAUUAUAUAGCUUUCUUCAGCUCGGGAUGAGAACCCGAAAAGAGGCCUUGGGAUUCAACAAUUUAAAAACUGUUCUGGGGUCCACCAGAGAGAUGGCUCAGUGACUUGAUCUUCCAGAUGUCCUGAGUUUUAUUUCCAGCACCUAUAUCUGGUGGUUCAUAACCACUAGUUAGUUCCAGUGGGUCUAAUACCUCUGGUCAGGCUGGAGAGAUGGCUCAGAGGUUAAAAGCACUGACUGCUCUUCAGAGGUCCUGAGUUCAAAUCCCAGCAACAGAUGGUGGCUCACAACCAUCUGUAAUGAGAUCUGAUGCCCUCUUCUGGUGUGUGUGAAGACAGUUACAAUGUACUCACAUAUAAAUAAUAUUAAAAAAAAUACCUCUGGUCUCCUUGGAUACCUACACACAUGUGGAGUACACAUACAUAACGUACAUAUAAACAAUAAAAUCUUUAAAAACAUA
RNA transcript from Rattus norvegicus (Norway rat), 2802 nucleotides. It is a transcript of the gene named LysM domain containing 1, with no coding region annotated. The record is from RefSeq and is marked validated. NCBI's taxonomy places the organism in Eukaryota, Metazoa, Chordata, Mammalia, Rodentia, Muridae.